GGGAAAUCUCAAAUUGCUUCUCAUUAUGAUUUCUUACUCAUUAAUUCAGUAAUGCUUUAUUUUAAGCAAAACUCUCAACCUUUAUAGAGAAACUUAAAUGUGAAAAGUUUCAGUAUUAAUGAAUGUUUGAAAAUACAUAUUUAUAAUGAAAAUCCAUAUUCCUGGUGUUUACUUUUUACAGAGUGUGUUACAGAAGUGUGCCUGCAAAGGAGAGAUGGGUGGAAAAGAUGAAGGUGUGAGGAUGGCCAUGACUGGCUCUGUAAUUUUCUUUCCAGUGGUUAGGAUUAGGAUUAGAGUUCAAUAGGCACUCCAUCCAGCUAGGUAAAAGGAAAGCAGGGCUCCAGCAGCUGAGAACUGUAACCCUAGAAAAGGGCACUGUUGAGCAUUCUUCAGUCUGCAGCUCUAGAAGAGAAUAAGGACUUAAGGUAGUGUAUGCUCCCCUAAUAUGAAAGCUAUUAAUCCUCAAAGUUUUAAGUGAUGCUGAGCAAAAAAUUGUACCUAUGUCUUUAGAAAGAGUGCUUUAGAUCAGAGAGUUAAAACACAGUAAGGAAGGAUUUUUACCUUUUCCAAUCCCAUAAGGAGCUGGGGUCUGGACAGCUUUAAGAUUUUCCAUAAUUUUAUGCUAGUCUAGUCAUGUGGCAUUUUCCCAGAAGAUUUAACUUAAUUUGCUGCUCUUUACAGUCAGAAGUUAUUAGCUGGACUUAGGGAACAAGGUUACUUUCCAACUUUCCCAUCCAUUUCAACCAGCUCAGCAUUGGCUUAAGCCAUAGACCUCAGUAUUUCCAGUGCUGCUGAGUUUGCUCAAAUUAGGUAUUCUAAGUAGUAGUGUUCUUUGAUAUGAACAGGUCAAGACUGGUUGUUAAAAUAAAAAAAAAAGGAAUCUAUUUAAAACAACAAAAAACAGAUUAUUUACAAGCCCUAGCCAAUAUAGAUUCUGAUUUUUAAAAGUGAUAAUUGAAUGUAAUGGCACUUCCUUUUCAAUUUAAUUAAAAAACAUAAUUUGAAUUUUAAACAUGAUAAACAAUCAUGUGAUUUUAGAUUGUUUUAAAGCACAGUGUGAUCAGGGUAUGAGAAAGCUGAGUGCCCGAUGGAAAUGUGUAUAAAGUGCCAUCACUGAAAUUUACUCUUCCCUGUCCAGCUAACACAUUUAAGAACCAUGUGCUGUACCAGACUGCCUGGAAUGGUUUAUUCUACGUAUUCUGUCUGUGCAAUAGAAGUGACUUAAAACUCAAUUAAACUGACUUUUUAUUGUUUUUUCAGACUAUGUCACUGUUCAGAUUUUAUUGUAGUCUUUUAAAUGGUGUCUAGAAUAACUAUUAUACUAACAAAGACCAGAACUAAGGGAGAAGAAAAUAUUUUUGAGAUUUAUUAAACUUAAGUUAUGCCCAGUUUCUUAGAUUUACAACUGAGAUAUGAAUGCUUUUUUUUUAGAAAAUAAAUUAUGUUAGGACUAAUAUAUUGUCACUAAUUUAACUGUAGUAUAAACAUUGUGCUAAAUAAUCUUGUUUCCUUGUAUUUGCAAACUACAUACAUUCUUUCCACCAGUAUACAAUAUCCACUAUAAUCUCUUAAAGUUUUUUUGAAGUCAAAAGAUUCUUUUUAAAAAUGAUGCCAUUUUCAGAAUAAUAUAAAUGUGUUGACCUCUAUCAUUUCCAUAUUCUAAAUUUGAAUCUGUGCAUUUCUGCAGUGUGCCUGUUUAUUUAAUAGGUGUCAGAUGAUGUUUUGCAUAGAGACAUGUGUGAUAAAGGAUUUACCCUACAAAACAAUUACAUAAGAUGUGGUGUGAUUUGAACAGUUAAGAGCGAUUUCAAGGAAACUAGAAUAUUUUCUAUGGCUCAGACAGGCCCUUUUGAUGUAUUUCCUCAUUCAAAAAAAGUAAUUUUUUAAAAAAUUAUGUUGUUUAAAGGCAAUUUUCUGUUGGUGAUGAAUAUUAUUGGCCAAAUAGAUUGUUGCUAUGGAACAUUUGCUAGCUAUGAAAAAUACAGAAAAUGAAUUAAAGAAAAUCUUAUGUUCGAUCAUUCUUGGAAGAUUCAAAAAUCUUCCAAGUAUAUCCUAAGUACACAUGAAAGUGGAAACUUUUACCUUUUUCUUCAAAGGUCAAAAUAUCUGUGUGCAUAUAAUUAAUGAAUUGUAUAAAAUCUAUUAUAUGUUAUAGCUAUAUUAUAUAUUAUAUAUAUUACAUAUUAAUAUCUCUCUGUUAGGAAACUCUCUUUCUCCUGACACUACUCCUGUAGCCAUAGCAGCACCGGACCACUCAAUAAAUAUGUGUUGAAUGAAAGAAUGCCUGAACAAAUAGAUGGAAUCAAAUUCUCUGUAAAAGAUAGAAAUUGAUUUUUAAUUAAUUGUUAUAGUUUAUAUUUAUAUUUUGGUCUUUGCUGCCUUUUUAACACUUUCUUAAUAACUUCAGCUAAGGUACAAUUUUUCCUUAAUAGUCUGCUCUAAUGCAACUGAUAUAUAUAAAUUUGGAUACUUUAUAUUACAUAUCUAAAGAAAGAUCAUGGUAAUUUUGUUAAAAUACAACCUGUAUUUCUGCUGAGGAGUAAAUUUUUAUGAUUUUCAUCAAACCCAUAAAAAUAAGUAGGCAUUAGCUUUCUGUAAAGGAUUUGAAAUCUCUCUCUCCAAAGAUUACCUAAGAUCACUUUAAGAAUGCUAUUACCAUUAACAAAUACAUUAACAUUGCAUAAUGCCUUUUAAAAGUUGAUAAUUGGUUAUUUCCAUUGAAAGAGUUACAGAGAAUUAGGACAAAAGUAGAAUACAAAUUCACCUAUCAUCCCUCUGGCAGAAAUUCAAGUCAUUUUAGUAAAGUUUCAGAUAUUUAAGCAGAUGAAAAGCAGCACAAUGGAUGCCAAAUUUUUUGCCUUAAAAAUUACUUAAUGUUAUAAAGAGAUUAGGCAGAUUUCAGGACAGAAUAGGAUAGAUAUGUAAGGAAGAUAAUCUGAUAAUUCAAUCCUAGUUACUUAUUUACCACAGGGGUCCCCAUCUUUUAAAGAACCUAAAUAUAGUGAAAUUU
This 3010-nucleotide long non-coding RNA is filed under the name Marmota monax (woodchuck). The record is from RNAcentral. Lineage: Eukaryota; Metazoa; Chordata; Mammalia; Rodentia; Sciuridae.